AUUUUAAUGAUGAAAAGAUGACGAGUAUGAAAAAAUGAAGAUUAUUUAUUAUUAUUUUUAAAAACAUGUUUUAUGUAUUUAAUAAUAGUUAGUAAAUGUAUUCUUCAUUUUUCAAGCAUGAUUAUGUGAGGCAUUUGUCUGAAAAA
RNAcentral lists this small nucleolar RNA (146 nucleotides) under Plasmodium malariae. RNAcentral describes it as "small nucleolar RNA snoR21". It matches the Rfam family "small nucleolar RNA snoR21". The record is from Rfam by way of RNAcentral. Lineage: Eukaryota; Apicomplexa; Aconoidasida; Haemosporida; Plasmodiidae.